RNAcentral lists this long non-coding RNA (1383 nucleotides) under Canis lupus familiaris (dog). RNAcentral describes it as "lncRNA (ENSCAFG00845010472.1)". The record is from RNAcentral. Lineage: Eukaryota; Metazoa; Chordata; Mammalia; Carnivora; Canidae.
AUUCAUAGCUUGAGUACCUUCUAAAUACUAGCUUCCUGGUAGACUUUUCAAAUACAGCAUCCAGUUUCCUUGGGUGGGAAGUAUAUAUCCUCAUUUAUAUUUUUAUUUUCUUUUAAAUAUUUUAUUUAUUUAUUCAUAGAGACACACACACACACAGAGAGAGAGAGAGGCAGAGACACAGGCAGAGGGAGAAGCAGGCUCCAUGCAGAGAGCCUGAUGUGGGACUCGAUCCAGAGUCUCCAAGAUCACACCCUGGGCUGCAGGUGGCGCUAAACUGCUGCGCCACCGGGGCUGCCCUAUAUCCUCAUUUAUAGAUGAAGAAAUAGGCUCAAAGGGGUUAGGCUAACCGUGGACAAGGAACCAGGUUUGGGACUGGACUUCAGGUCCAAAUGGCUCCACAUAUGAAAGGAUGAUCUUAACAGCUGAAGCUGCCUCUGCCCUUUGUUUAUCAUGGACCUUGAGUCUCAGUUUCUUCAUCUGUAAAAUGGGGAUAAUGAAAGUUUCUAUUUUACAGGGCUGUAAUGAGGAUUGAUGGGGAUGACUGCCUGUCCUACCACUCAGCACAGCACAGUCUCUGGCACAUAGUAUGGGCUCAACAAGCUGCAGCCUACGGUGAUAAUGAUGAUGAUGAUCUUCCUUUGAGAAGCACACUGACUCACGUCCAAGUGGAUUUCUAGGUGAAAUUACAAGUCAGCAGUUGGACCAAGGGGUUUGGCAGUGUGGGGGUUGCUGUGGGGGAUGGAGGGCAGGAGGAAGAGGAGGGUGCCCUACUAUUCUGGAUAGGAUACCCACUGGACUACCUCUUCCUCCCUUUUGACUUACCAGAUUGGCCAAGUAGUGUCUUAAUAUGGCCAAUAUAUCCUCUGGGCUCAUCUGUCCCAUCUUUUCCAGCAAACCAUGGACCUGUGGGGAUAUUGAAUUCCUCUCAGCACAGCCUCAUCGCUACCCACCCCCCUACUUACAACCAUGAGCAGACGAAUAUGCCUGGCCCUGGGAACAGAGCCAAGUGUGGCCAGGCUGGCAUCUCCCCGGGCGGCCACCUCGCCUGAGGAAGCCACGGAACCCCGGCGGCCACCUCACUUGAGGAAGCCAAGGAGCCCUGGGCGGCCACCUCACCUGAGGAAGCCACGGAACCCCGGCGGCCACCUCACCUGAGGAAGCCAAGGAACCCCGGCGGCCACCUCGCCUGAGGAAGCCAAGGAACCCGGGCGGUACGGCCUGUGACCACUAUCACAUGCCCGCGGGCCCCCGGGCUGACCCCUCUUGGGGGUGGCAGCGCCGGUCACCAGAGAGCCCCCAUGGAUCCAUACCGUGACCUGCAGGGAGGUCACGGGACAGUGACGCCCAGCUCUUGGGACACCGGCUGCCCUCCCUCCAACCCCG